This 486-nucleotide ribosomal RNA is filed under the name uncultured bacterium. Its description in RNAcentral is "partial 16S ribosomal RNA". It matches the Rfam family "Bacterial small subunit ribosomal RNA", at positions 30 to 507 of the family's 1533-position model. The record is from RNAcentral.
AUUGAACGCUGGCGGCAUGCCUUACACAUGCAAGUCGAACGGCAGCACGGGUGCUUGCACCUGGUGGCGAGUGGCGAACGGGUGAGUAAUCCAUCGGAACAUGUCCUGUAGUGGGGGAUAGCCCGGCGAAAGCCGGAUUCAUACCGCAUACGAUCUACGGAUGAAAGCGGGGGACCUUCGGGCCUCGCGCUAUAGGGUUGGCCGAUAGCUGAUUAGCUAGUUGGUGGGGUAAAGGCCUACCAAGGCGACGCUCAGUAGCUGGUCUGAGAGGACGACCAGCCACACUGGGACUGAGACACGGCCCAGACUCCUACGGGAGGCAGCAGUGGGGAAUUUUGGACAAUGGGCGAAAGCCUGAUCCAGCAAUGCCGCGUGUGUGAAGAAGGCCUUCGGGUUGUAAAGCACUUUUGUCCGGAAAGAAAUCCUUGGCUCUAAUACAGUCGGGGGAUGACGGUACCGGAAGAAUAAGCACCGGCUAACUACGUG